RNAcentral lists this long non-coding RNA (503 nucleotides) under Ananas comosus (pineapple). RNAcentral's name for it is "long non-coding RNA (ACOM_LNC031780)". Lineage: Eukaryota; Viridiplantae; Streptophyta; Magnoliopsida; Poales; Bromeliaceae. The record is from RNAcentral.
AAAUGCAUACAUUUGUAUGUAAACAUAAUAAAUUACAAAUAUAUUUUUAUAAAAUUUAAUUUUUAUAUAUUAUUUUUGUAAAAAUUUUAAUAUUUUUAAAUAUAUCCUUCUGAUUUAUUAUUAUUAAAAAAUUAUUUAUAUUUUAAUAGCAAGUAAGUGAAAUAUCAAUUUUACCAUCACAAAUAUAUUUCUUUAAAAACUACAACAGGAUAAUAUAAUAGGGGUAAAAACAUCGAGUUAUCUCAUAAACUAAUCAGAUUUAAAUAUUUAAUCUAUUAUUAGCUAAAUUUUUUAAACGGAUUCUAAAGAUAGGGAUAUAUUUUAAAAUAUUAGAACUUUUACAGAAACAAAUAUAAAAAUUAAACUUUGUAGGAAUAUAUUUGCAAUCAAGGAUCUAUAUGCAAUUAACUCUUUUUUUAUGUAGUGCAAUUAUUAUUAUCCGAGUUAGCACGUAAAAAAAUAAUAAUAAUUUUUUAUAGUAUAAGAUGUACAUAUUAUUUUUG